AUACUUACCUGGCACAGGGGUUACCGUGAUCAUAAAGGCGGUUCCCCCAGGGCGAGGCCUCUUCAUUGCACUCCGAAGUGGGCUGACCCUUGCGAUUGUCCCUCAUGUGGAUAACUCGUGUGUACAAUUUUUGGUAGCCCGGGGUCAGCGUGCGCGCAGACCAAGA
Small nuclear RNA from Culex pipiens (northern house mosquito), 166 nucleotides. It matches the Rfam family "U1 spliceosomal RNA". From Rfam's summary of the family: U1 is a small nuclear RNA (snRNA) component of the spliceosome (involved in pre-mRNA splicing). Its 5' end forms complementary base pairs with the 5' splice junction, thus defining the 5' donor site of an intron. NCBI's taxonomy places the organism in Eukaryota, Metazoa, Arthropoda, Insecta, Diptera, Culicidae. The record is from Rfam.